Molecule: long non-coding RNA, 291 nt
Filed under: Nicotiana benthamiana
Lineage: Eukaryota; Viridiplantae; Streptophyta; Magnoliopsida; Solanales; Solanaceae
Description: long non-coding RNA (NBEN_LNC038724)
Source: RNAcentral
ACAAUUGAGAUAUCCUUGUCAGCAAUCAAUAUCAAUUAGCCUUGUUUAUUCAUAUGUUGAAAACGUGUUGUUAAAUGACAAUUGGUGUCAAUUAGUUUACUUGUUAGUUAUCUGCUUUUAGAAGAUCAAAACUGUUGAUAUGUAUUAACAGUUAGCUUAAUAAAAUCAUUUCAUUCAAGAUUUGAUAAUUGCUAUCUGUGGUUUAAAUAACUGUUAGUAUACUGUGUGGUGUAUAUUAUCUAUUAGCAUAUUCUUCAAAAAGUUUUCACUCACGUUUUUGAUGAAUGCUAU